This 522-nucleotide ribosomal RNA is filed under the name uncultured archaeon. RNAcentral's name for it is "bacterial SSU rRNA". It matches the Rfam family "Archaeal small subunit ribosomal RNA", at positions 691 to 1212 of the family's 1478-position model. The record is from RNAcentral.
CCGACGGUGAGGGGUGAAGGCUGGGGGCGCAAACCGGAUUAGAUACCGGGUAGUCCCAGCAGUAAACGAUGCCAGCUAUGUGUUGCUGGAACCAUGGGUUCCAGCAGUGCCGAAGGGAAGCCGUGAAGCUGGCCACCUGGGAAGUACGGUCGUAAGGCUGAAACUUAAAGGAAUUGGCGGGGGAGUACCACAACCGGUGGAGCCUGCGGUUUAAUUGGAUACAACGCCGGGAAUCUUACCGGACGGGACAGCAGUAUGAAGGCCAGGCUAAAGACCUUGCCAGAUCAGCUGAGAGGAGGUGCAUGGCCGUCGCCAGUUCGUACCGUGAGGCAUCCUGUUUAGUCAGGCAACGAUCGAGACCCGCAGUCUUAUUUGCCAGCAUGCCCUUUGGGGUGUAUGGGUACAAUAAGACGACCGCCAGCGCUAAGCUGGAGGAAGGAGCGGGCUACGGUAGGUCAGCAUGCCCCGAAUCCUCCGGGAUACACGCGGGCUACAAUGGUCAGGACAAAAGGUACCGACCUC